Molecule: ribosomal RNA, 477 nt
Filed under: uncultured bacterium
Lineage: Bacteria
Description: partial 16S ribosomal RNA
Rfam family: Bacterial small subunit ribosomal RNA
Source: RNAcentral
GAUUAACGCUGGCGGCGUGCAUAACACAUGCAAGUCGAACGAUGAAACUUAACUGAUUUCUUCGGAAUGAUUUUAAGUGGCUUAGUGGCGGACGGGUGAGUAACGCGUGAGUAACCUGCCUUGGAGAAGGGGAUAGCCUUUGGAAACGAAGAAUAAUACCCUAUGAUAUGAUAAUAUCUCAUGAUAUUAUCAUCAAAGAUUUAUCGCUCUAAGAUGGACUUGCGUCUGAUUAUUUAGUUGGUGAGGUAACAGCUCACCAAGGCAGCGAUCAGUAGCCGGCAUGGGGGAGUGGACCACCCCAUUGGGACUGAGACACGGCCCAGACCCCUACGGGAGGCAGCAGUGGGGAAGUUUGAACAAUGGGGGAAACCCGGAUGCAGCGGCGCCGCGUGAUUUAGAAGGCCUUCAGGUUGUAAAAAUCUUUUGUAUGGGAAGAACAUGACGGUACCAUACGAGUAAGGACCGGCUAAUUACGUG